GGCUCAGAACGAACGCUGGCGGCGUGCUUAACACAUGCAAGUCGAACGAACCUUCGGGUUAGUGGCGGACGGGUGAGUAACGCGUGAGAAUCUGCCCUCAGGAGGGGGAUAACGGUUGGAAACGACCGCUAAUACCCCAUAUGCCGAGAGGUGAAAAGAAAUUCGUCUGAGGAUGAGCUCGCGUCUGAUUAGCUAGUUGGUGUGGUAAUGGCGCAGGAAGGCUUCGAUCAGUAGCUGGUCUGAGAGGAUGAUCAGCCAC
RNAcentral lists this ribosomal RNA (259 nucleotides) under uncultured bacterium. Its description in RNAcentral is "partial 16S ribosomal RNA". It matches the Rfam family "Bacterial small subunit ribosomal RNA", at positions 21 to 311 of the family's 1533-position model. The record is from RNAcentral.